UGGGGAAUUUUGCACAAUGGGGGAAACCCUGAUGCAGCGACGCCGCGUGAUUUAGGAGGCCUUCGGGUUGUAAAAAUCUUUUCUAUGGGAAGAAAAUGACAGUACCAUAGGAAUAAGGACCGGCUAAUUACGUGCCAGCAGCCGCGGUAAUACGUAAGGUCCGAGCGUUGUCCGGAAUCAUUGGGCGUAAAGGGUACGUAGGCGGGUAAGCAAGUUAGAAGUGAAAUCCUAUAGCUCAACUAUAGUAAGCUUUUAAAACUGCUCAUCUUGAGGUAUGGCAGGGAAAGUGGAAUUCCUAGUGUAGCGGUGAAAUGCGCAGAUAUUAGGAGGAAUACCGGUGGCGAAGGCGACUUUCUGGCCAUAACCUGACGCUGAGGUACGAAAGCGUGGGUAGCAAACAGG
This 402-nucleotide ribosomal RNA is filed under the name bacterium. RNAcentral describes it as "partial 16S ribosomal RNA". It matches the Rfam family "Bacterial small subunit ribosomal RNA", at positions 355 to 776 of the family's 1533-position model. The record is from RNAcentral.